This 385-nucleotide ribosomal RNA is filed under the name uncultured Bacteroidota bacterium. RNAcentral describes it as "bacterial SSU rRNA". It matches the Rfam family "Bacterial small subunit ribosomal RNA", at positions 103 to 487 of the family's 1533-position model. The record is from RNAcentral. Lineage: Bacteria; Pseudomonadati; Bacteroidota.
CGGGUGCGUAACGCGUAUGCAACCUACCUCAUACUGGAGAAUAGCCCUUGGAAACGAGGAUUAAUGCUCCAUAGUAUCACAGAUUCGCAUGUUUCUGUGAUUAAAGAAUUUCGGUAUGAGAUGGGCAUGCGUCCCAUUAGCUUGUUGGUGAGGUAACGGCUCACCAAGGCAACGAUGGGUAGGGGGCCUGAGAGGGUGACCCCCCACACUGGUACUGAGACACGGACCAGACUCCUACGGGAGGCAGCAGUGAGGAAUAUUGGGCAAUGGAGGCAACUCUGACCCAGCCAUGCCGCGUGAAGGAUGACUGCCCUAUGGGUUGUAAACUUCUUUUAUAUGGGAAGAAACUUAUCUACGUGUAGAUAACUGACGGUACCAUACGAAU